CCUACGGGGGGCAGCAGUGGGGAAUAUUGCACAAUGGGGGAAACCCUGAUGCAGCGACGCCGCGUGGGUGAAGAAGUAUUUCGGUAUGUAAAGCUCUAUCAGCAGGGAAGAAAAUGACGGUACCUGACUAAGAAGCCCCGGCUAACUACGUGCCAGCAGCCGCGGUAAUAUGUAGGGGGCAAGCGUUAUCCGGAUUUACUGGGUGUAAAGGGAGCGUAGGCGGAGGGCCAAGUCAGGAGUGAAAUGCCGGGGCUUAACCCCGGAACUGCUUUUGAAACUGGGGAGCUAGAGUGCGGGAGAGGUAAGCGGAAUUCAUAGUGUAGCGGUGAAAUGCGUAGAGAUUAGGAGGAACACCAGUGGCGAAGGCGGCUUACUGGACUGUAACUGACGUUGAGGCUCGAAAGCGUGGGGAGCAAACAGGAUUAGAUACCCGAGUAGUC
Molecule: ribosomal RNA, 440 nt
Filed under: uncultured bacterium
Lineage: Bacteria
Description: partial 16S ribosomal RNA
Rfam family: Bacterial small subunit ribosomal RNA
Source: RNAcentral